Molecule: transfer RNA, 74 nt
Filed under: Planctomycetota bacterium
Lineage: Bacteria; Pseudomonadati; Planctomycetota
Description: tRNA-Pro
Rfam family: tRNA
About the family: Transfer RNA (tRNA) molecules are approximately 80 nucleotides in length.
Source: RNAcentral
CAGAACGUGGCGAAGUCUGGCAUCGCGCCUGGCUGGGGGCCAGGAGAUCGUCGGUUCAAAUCCGACCGUUCUGA